Molecule: ribosomal RNA, 521 nt
Filed under: Microselasia barombi
Lineage: Eukaryota; Metazoa; Arthropoda; Insecta; Coleoptera; Elateridae
Description: partial large subunit ribosomal RNA
Rfam family: Bacterial large subunit ribosomal RNA (bases 384-521)
Source: RNAcentral
CAUGUCCUUAAGAUUUUAAUUUUAGGUCUGAUCUGCUCAGUGAUUAUUAAAUAGCCGUGGUAUUUUGACCGUGCAAAGGUAGCAUAGUAAUUAGUUUUUUUAUUGGAAGCUGGAAUGAAUGAUUGAACAAGGGAUUUUCUGUCUCCUAAUUAUUUAUUUUGAAUUUAACUUUUAAGUUAAAAGGCUUAAAUUUUUUUUAAAGACGAGAAGACCCUAUAGAGUUUUACAUAUUUUAAUGUUGAUAUUUUUUGGGAUUGGUUUAUUUUUAUAUUAAUUUUGUUUAGUUGGGGUGAUUGGAAGAUUAAUAUAACUCUUCUAUUUUUUGUUACUGAUUAGUAAUUUUUGUUUCUUUAAUUUUUAAGUUUAAAUUAAAUUACCUUAGGGAUAACAGCGUUAUUUCCCUUUAUAGUUCUUAUUGUUAGGGAAGUUUGCGACCUCGAUGUUGGAUUAAAAUUUAUGUUAGGUGUAGUGGCUUAUGCAUUGGAGUCUGUUCGACUUUUAAAAUUUUACAUGAUCUGAGU